This 60-nucleotide transfer RNA is filed under the name Leptotrombidium akamushi. Its description in RNAcentral is "tRNA-Lys". Lineage: Eukaryota; Metazoa; Arthropoda; Arachnida; Trombidiformes; Trombiculidae. The record is from RNAcentral.
GUUUUGAAAGCUACUCAGCACUGAACUUUUAAUUCAGAGAAGGGAAAUCCCCUCAAAAUU